AAUGGGUAUUCCUAAAAAUCCCAUAGCAAACUGCUCAGUAACACAUGAUCAACUUGCCCUAUGGGAGGACAAUAACCUCGGGAAACUGGAGGAUAAUAGUCCAUAGUUGAUUAGGCUUGGAAAAGUUUUUCAAUGAAUGGAAUAAGAAAAAUGGUUCUUAUUUGCCAUAGGACAGGAUCGUGCUCGAUUAUGGUUGUUGGUGAGGUAAAGGCUCACCAAGCCGAUAAUCGAUAGGGGCCGUGAGAGCGGUUGCCCCGAGAUGGGUACUGAGAUAACGACCCAGGCCUUACGAGGCGCAGCAGGCGCGAAACCUCAUCACUACACGAAAGUGUGAAUGGGUUACCCAAAGUGUCCUUAUUGGACUGUGGUAGGUGAGUAAUGUUCCCUACUAAAAAGGAGAGGGCAAGGCUGGUGCCAGCCGCCGCGGUAAAACCAGCCCUUCAAGUGGUCGGGAUAAUUAUUGGGCUUAAAGUGUCCGUAGCCGGUAUGGUAAGUUCCUGGUAAAAUCGGGUAGCUUAACUAUCUGUGUGCUAGGUAUACUGCUAUACUAGAGGGCGGGAGAGGUCUGAGGUACUACGGGGGUAGGGGUGAAAUCUUAUAAUCCUCGUAGGACCACCAGUGGCGAAGGCGUCAGACUGGAACGCGCCUGACGGUGAGGGACGAAAGCCAGGGGAGCGAACCGGAU
Molecule: ribosomal RNA, 685 nt
Filed under: uncultured archaeon
Lineage: Archaea
Description: bacterial SSU rRNA
Rfam family: Archaeal small subunit ribosomal RNA
Source: RNAcentral